UUCAAAUAUUUCCAAAUAUACGUAAUGACCUAUCGAUCCUAUAGUCGUUCGAUAAAUUAUCGAUCUUACGAAGUCUCUCGAUCGAUACGUGUCACAGGGAGGUACAUGUCGGGGAGAAAGGAAAGAAAAAUCAAAAUGGCCGCAAUCGGCUGACUCGACGUUUCCUCCUCGUUAUAAAAAAGGAGUCGUGAAGCCGAUCUAAGAGGAGCCGAAGGAUUUUCUCGAGAAAUCGACGCCAUGUAUAACGAAAGGUGCGAUGUCGCUGGGCAAGAAGCCCAGCCGGAGAGGCUAUAGCAUAGAAAUGUAUUUAGUAUUUUACCGCCGCACUCUUUCUUUUCAUACUGGAAAUGCCCAAAAGGCCGGCUAAUCUCAUGCAGCCCCUACAGCCUGGAAGGAUGGUAAAGUCCAUGACAAGGAUCAAGAUCCAGUUUGAACGCACCGAUAAUCCAGUAUGGAAAAACCCCUGACUGUACAAUUUUCAAAAUACUUUAGCACAGCUCUAUAUACCUCUAUACUGUACGUGCUAAAGGUACAGAUAGGUCAACUAUAUAGAAAGUUUUAAAAAUACUUUUCAAAUCCAACUGGCCAGUAACAGCACGUGGCGAUCAAUUAUUGUUGGCUACAGCACCGAUCAAAAGGUCAUUGACUUUGGGUGGAUUUUCAAAAAAGAUAAAUUAUUAUUUAAUUUCGUUCUUGCCAAUAUCCCAAGGUACCUCGUGGCAUAGAUGAAGCAAGUUGCCAAAAUUUAUUACACGGCAAUUAUGAUCAUGUACCAAGUUCAAUGAUCGAUGAUUUCUCUACUUGAGCAUUUCAAAUUUUCAAUACUCAAAUACGAAUUUACGUGACGGCAUUUAACGGCGACGCAUCGCGAAGGAAACUGCAAUACGUGGUACGGAAAUAAGUUUCUACGAAAUUGCUAUUAUUAUUUCGUCGUUACCAAGUCUGGGGUUGCAAGCUCAAACCAAAGCGAACGAGUGCUUUCUCCCGUUCGAAAAAUUAGGUCAACCGGUCACCGUACGAGAACACGUUUCCUGAUAAGUUUUUCAAAAAUUCUUCAGGGUCGCCUCGAACAUAAUUUAAGUGCAGAAUAAAAUUUGCGAUUAGGUCACGUCGAUGCAAAAUCUUUGCACACGUUUAGUAUAUGCGUUAGUCGCUAAAAUAUAACAUAGCUUAAGAAAGGAACCCAAACAAUUUCUUAUGAAUAAUGAAAAUCCAAUUUCUUUUAACUAAAUUGGAUUUUCACCAAUAAAUAUUUUGACCCAAAACCGGGUAUAACCUUAAUUCUAAUGUAAAACCCGUGACCGAUAUCCUAUAUA
Molecule: long non-coding RNA, 1316 nt
Organism: Cephus cinctus (wheat stem sawfly)
Lineage: Eukaryota; Metazoa; Arthropoda; Insecta; Hymenoptera; Cephidae
Exons: 3
Source: RefSeq, a predicted model, not a curated record